RNAcentral lists this ribosomal RNA (513 nucleotides) under uncultured bacterium. RNAcentral's name for it is "partial 16S ribosomal RNA". It matches the Rfam family "Bacterial small subunit ribosomal RNA", at positions 28 to 523 of the family's 1533-position model. The record is from RNAcentral.
GAUGAACGCUGGCGGCGUGCCUAAUACAUGCAAGUCGAGCGAACGGAUAAGGAGCUUGCUCCUUUGAAGUUAGCGGCGGACGGGUGAGUAACACGUGGGUAACCUACCUAUAAGACUGGAAUAACUUCGGGAAACCGGAGCUAAUGCCGGAUAACAUUUGGAACUGCAUGGUUCUAAAGUAAAAGAUGGUUUUGCUAUCACUUAUAGAUGGACCCGCGCCGUAUUAGCUAGUUGGUAAGGUAACGGCUUACCGAGGCAACGAUACGUAGCCGACCUGAGAGGGUGAUCGGCCACACUGGAACUGAGACACGGUCCAGACUCCUACGGGAGGCAGCAGUAGGGAAUCUUCCGCAAUGGACGAAAGUCUGACGGGGCAACGCCGCGUGAGUGAUGAAGAUUUUCGGAUCGUAAAACUCUGUUAUUAGGGAAGAACAAAUGUGUAAGUAACUGUGCACAUCUUGACGGUACCUAAUCAGAAAGCCACGGCUAACUACGUGCCAGCCGCCGCAGUAA